Molecule: ribosomal RNA, 814 nt
Filed under: Clostridioides difficile
Lineage: Bacteria; Bacillati; Bacillota; Clostridia; Peptostreptococcales; Peptostreptococcaceae
Description: bacterial LSU rRNA
Rfam family: Bacterial large subunit ribosomal RNA
Source: RNAcentral
GGUCCGAACCCACGAGCGUUGAAAAGCUCGGGGAUGACUUGUGGGUAGCGGUGAAAUUCCAAUCGAGCCCGGAGAUAGCUGGUUCUCCCCGAAAUAGCUUUAGGGCUAGCCUCAAGGUGAGAGAUACGGAGGUAGAGCACUGAAUGUCCUAGGGGGUAUUGCACCUACCGAAGACUAUCAAACUCCGAAUGCCGUCAUCUUAUACUUGGGAGUCAGACUGUGGGUGAUAAGAUUCAUAGUCGAAAGGGCAACAGCCCAGAUCGUCAGCUAAGGUCCCUAAAUGUAAGUUAAGUGGUAAAGGAUGUGGGAUUGCACAGACAACCAGGAUGUUGGCUUAGAAGCAGCCACUCAUUCAAAGAGUGCGUAAUAGCUCACUGGUCGAGUGAUCCUGCGCCGAAGAUUUCCGGGGCUAAAACUUACUACCGAAGCUACGGCAUCAGUAAUGAUGGGUAGGGGAGCUUCCCAUACGGGUUGAAGCAUGACCGUAAGGACAUGUGGACAGUAUGGGAGUGAGAAUGUUGGCAUGAGUAGCGAGAUGUGGGUGAGAAUCCCACAGGCCGUAAACCCAAGGUUUCCAGGGGAAGGUGCGUCCGCCCUGGGUUAGUCGGGACCUAAGCUGAGGCCGAAAGGCGUAGGUGAUGGACAACAGGUUGAUAUUCCUGUACUACCGAUAACCGUUUGAGAGAUGGGAUGACACAGUAGGAUAAGCUAAGCACACUGUUGGUUAUGUGUGCCCAAGCAUUGAGGCAGUCAAAGUAGGCAAAUCCGCUUUGAUAAUGCUGGGAUGUGAUGGGGAGCGAAAUUUAGUAGCGAA